RNAcentral lists this ribosomal RNA (468 nucleotides) under alpha proteobacterium Mwj2. RNAcentral's name for it is "bacterial SSU rRNA". It matches the Rfam family "Bacterial small subunit ribosomal RNA", at positions 379 to 864 of the family's 1533-position model. Lineage: Bacteria; Pseudomonadati; Pseudomonadota; Alphaproteobacteria. The record is from RNAcentral.
AAGCCUGAUCCAGCAAUGCCGCGUGAGUGAAGAAGGCCUUCGGGUUGUAAAGCUCUUUUACCCGGGAAGAUAAUGACCGUACCGGGAGAAUAAGCCCCGGCUAACUCCGUGCCAGCAGCCGCGGUAAUACGGAGGGGGCUAGCGUUGUUCGGAAUCACUGGGCGUAAAGCGUGCGUAGGCGGCCAUUCAAGUCAGAGGUGAAAGCCCAGGGCUCAACCCUGGAACUGCCUUUGAAACUAGAUGGCUGGAACACGGGAGAGGUGAGUGGAAUUCCGAGUGUAGAGGUGAAAUUCGUAGAUAUUCGGAAGAACACCAGUGGCGAAGGCGGCUCACUGGACCGUUGUUGACGCUGAGGCACGAAAGCGUGGGGAGCAAACAGGAUUAGAUACCCUGGUAGUCCACGCCGUAAACGAUGAUAACUAGCUGUUGGGGCUCUUGGAGCUCCAGUGGCGCAGCUAACGCAUUAAG